RNAcentral lists this ribosomal RNA (2825 nucleotides) under Rubrimonas cliftonensis. Its description in RNAcentral is "bacterial LSU rRNA". It matches the Rfam family "Bacterial large subunit ribosomal RNA". The record is from RNAcentral. Lineage: Bacteria; Pseudomonadati; Pseudomonadota; Alphaproteobacteria; Rhodobacterales; Paracoccaceae.
CAAGCGCGAGAAGGGCGUUUGGUGGAUGCCUUGGCGGUAAGAGGCGAUGAAGGACGUGGCACUCUGCGAUAAGUCCGGGGGAGGCGAGAGCACCCUUUGAUCCCGGAAUGUCCGAAUGGGGAAACCCACCUGACAUUGACCGAUUGUUCGAUGCUUCGGCAUGGAUCAAUCGGCUGAUGAACCAGGUACUCAUUACCUGAAUACAUAGGGUUUUGAGAGCAAACCCGGGGAACUGAAACAUCUCAGUACCCGGAGGAAAGGAAAUCAACCGAGACUCCGUUAGUAGUGGCGAGCGAACGCGGACCAGGCCGUGCGGUCUAUAAAGGCGAACCAGUUGGAAAGCUGGGCGAUAUGGGUGACAGCCCCGUAGCCGUAGAAAGGACUGCCGUUAGAGUAGGGCGGGACACGUGAAAUCCUGUCUGAACAUGGGGGGACCACCCUCCAAGCCUAAGUACUCCUUACCGACCGAUAGCGAACCAGUACCGUGAGGGAAAGGUGAAAAGCACCCCGACGAGGGGAGUGAAACAGUACCUGAAACCGAACGCCUACAAACAGCCGGAGCGCAAGUGACGGCGUACCUUUUGUAUAAUGGGUCAGCGACUUAGUCUCACGAGCAAGCUUAAGCCGAUAGGCGUAGGCGCAGCGAAAGCGAGUCUGAACAGGGCGUUCAGUUCGUGGGAUUAGACCCGAAACCGAGUGAUCUAGGCAUGUCCAGGAUGAAGGUGCGGUAACACGCACUGAAGGUCCGAACCCACACCUGUUGAAAAAGGUCGGGAUGAGGUGUGCCUAGGGGUGAAAGGCCAAUCAAACUCGGAGAUAGCUGGUUCUCCGCGAAAUCUAUUUAGGUAGAGCGUCAGCCGAAUACCUCGGGGGGUAGAGCACUGGAUGGGUGAUGGGGGCCCACAGCCUUACUGAGCCUAACCAAACUCCGAAUACCCGAGAGUACUAGCUGGCAGACACACGGCGGGUGCUAACGUCCGUCGUGAAGAGGGAAACAACCCUGACCGACAGCUAAGGCCCCUAAUUCGUGGCUAAGUGGGAAAGCAUGUGGGACGACCAAAACAACCAGGAGGUUGGCUUAGAAGCAGCCAUCCUUUAAAGAUAGCGUAACAGCUCACUGGUCUAAAUAAGUUGUCCUGCGGCGAAGAUGUAACGGGGCUCAAGCCACGAGCCGAAGCUUCGGACUCCUUCGGGAGUGGUAGCGGAGCGUUCUGUGAAAAACCCGGUCCGUCUUGCGUCCAUGCUCCGGUAUGGGCGGCGGACGGAAUGGGUUUGACUGUGAAGCCGGGGCGCAAGCCAUCCGGUGGAGUGAUCAGAAGCGAGAAUGCUGACAUGAGUAGCGAUAAACAGGGUGAGAGACCCUGUCGCCGAAAGUCCAAGGUUUCCUGCUUAAAGCUAAUCUGAGCAGGGUGAGCCGGCCCCUAAGGCGAGGCCGAAAGGCGUAGUCGAUGGGAAUCAGGUUAAUAUUCCUGAGCCAGGAGGAUGUGACGGUUCUCGACUGUAGUUCGAUCUUAACGGAUUGAUCGGGCUGCUUAGAGGAUCCUGGAAAUAGCCCUCCAUAUGACCGUACUCCAAACCGACACAGGUGGACUGGUAGAGAAUACCAAGGCGCUUGAGAGAACUGCGUUGAAGGAACUCGGCAAAAUACCUCCGUAAGUUCGCGAGAAGGAGGCCUCGUUCGUGGGCAACCAUGGGCGAGGGGCACAGACCAGGGGGUGGCGACUGUUUACUAAAAACACAGGGCUCUGCGAAGCCGCAAGGCGACGUAUAGGGUCUGACGCCUGCCCGGUGCUGGAAGGUUAAGUGGAGGUGUGCAAGCACUGAAAUGAAGCCCCAGUAAACGGCGGCCGUAACUAUAACGGUCCUAAGGUAGCGAAAUUCCUUGUCGGGUAAGUUCCGACCUGCACGAAUGGCGUAACGACUUCCCCGCUGUCUCCAACGCAGACUCAGCGAAAUUGAAUUCCCCGUGAAGAUGCGGGGUUCCCGCGGUCAGACGGAAAGACCCCGUGCACCUUUACUACAGCUUCACACUGGCAUUAGGCGGAGCAUGUGCAGGAUAGGUGGUAGGCUAUGAAACCCGGGCGCCAGCUCGGCGGAGCCACCCUUGAGAUACCACCCUUGCUUCGCUUGAUGUCUAACCGCGGUCCGUCAUCCGGAUCCGGGACCCUGUGUGGCGGGUAGUUUGACUGGGGCGGUCGCCUCCUAAAGCAUAACGGAGGCGCGCGAUGGUGGGCUCAGAGCGGUCGGAAAUCGCUCGUUGAGUGCAAUGGCAUAAGCCCGCCUGACUGCGAGACUGACAAGUCGAGCAGAGACGAAAGUCGGCCAUAGUGAUCCGGUGGUCCCUCGUGGAAGGGCCAUCGCUCAACGGAUAAAAGGUACGCCGGGGAUAACAGGCUGAUGAUGCCCAAGAGUCCAUAUCGACGGCAUCGUUUGGCACCUCGAUGUCGGCUCAUCACAUCCUGGGGCUGGAGCAGGUCCCAAGGGUUCGGCUGUUCGCCGAUUAAAGUGGUACGUGAGCUGGGUUUAGAACGUCGUGAGACAGUUCGGUCCCUAUCUGCCGUGGGUGUAGGAGACUUGAGAGGAGCUGCCCCUAGUACGAGAGGACCGGGGUGGACGCACCACUGGUGGAUCGGUUGUCGCGCCAGCGGCACAGCCGAGUAGCUAUGUGCGGACAGGAUAACCGCUGAAGGCAUCUAAGCGGGAAGCCCCCCUCAAAACCAGGUCUCCCUGAGGGCCGUGGAAGACCACCACGUCGAUAGGCUGGAGAUGUAAGCGCCGUGAGGCGCUCAGUUGACCAGUACUAAUCGCCCGAUAGGCUUGAUCCG